Long non-coding RNA from Zea mays, 208 nucleotides. RefSeq lists it as uncharacterized. NCBI's taxonomy places the organism in Eukaryota, Viridiplantae, Streptophyta, Magnoliopsida, Poales, Poaceae. The transcript is spliced from 3 exons. The record is from RefSeq and is a predicted model, not a curated record.
GAUCUGGGUUCAGAUUCAACAAGACGCAGGAACACUUCCCUACUCUGAAGGACUACAACGAUUAUCUGGAAGAAGUUGAGGAUAUGACUUUCAACCUGAUCGAAGGGAUAAAUGUCUAGGAGAUUGAAGCAAAAAUUGCAAGAUACCAACAGGAAAAUGCGGAGCAGAUAUACUUGUCCAGAGCUAAAAGGGCGGAAGAUCUUGCAGA